This 508-nucleotide ribosomal RNA is filed under the name uncultured bacterium. RNAcentral's name for it is "partial 16S ribosomal RNA". It matches the Rfam family "Bacterial small subunit ribosomal RNA", at positions 28 to 507 of the family's 1533-position model. The record is from RNAcentral.
GACGAACGCUGGCGGCGUGCCUAAUACAUGCAAGUCGAACGCUUCUUUCCUCCCGAGUGCUUGCACUCAAUUGGAAAGAGGAGUGGCGGACGGGUGAGUAACACGUGGGUAACCUACCCAUCAGAGGGGGAUAACACUUGGAAACAGGUGCUAAUACCGCAUAACAGUUUAUGCCGCAUGGCAUAAGAGUGAAAGGCGCUUUCGGGUGUCGCUGAUGGAUGGACCCGCGGUGCAUUAGCUAGUUGGUGAGGUAACGGCUCACCAAGGCCACGAUGCAUAGCCGACCUGAGAGGGUGAUCGGCCACACUGGGACUGAGACACGGCCCAAACUCCUACGGGAGGCAGCAGUAGGGAAUCUUCGGCAAAGGACGAAAGUCUGACCGAGCAACGCCGCGUGAGUGAAGAAGGUUUUCGGAUCGUAAAACUCUGUUGUUAGAGAAGAACAAGGACGUUAGUAACUGAACGUCCCCUGACGGUAUCUAACCAGAAAGCCACGGCUAACUACGUG